AACGAACGCUGGCGGCAUGCCUAACACAUGCAAGUCGAACGAGACCUUCGGGUCUAUUGGCGCACGGGUUCGUAACGCGUGGGAACCUUCCCUUAUGUUCGCCAUAACUCCCCGAAAGGGGUGCUAAUACCGGAUAAUGUCUUCUGACCAAAGAUUUAUCGCCUUUGGAUGGGCCCGCGUUGGAUUCGCUAGUUGGUAGGGUAAAAGCCUACCAAGGCGACGAUCCAUAGCUGGUCUGAGAGGAUGAUCAGCCACACUGGGACUGAGACACGGCACAGAAUCUUACGGGAGGGAGCAGUGGGGAAUAUUGGAAAAUGGGGGAAAGCAUGAUCCAGCACUGACGGGUGAGUGAUGAAGGCAUUAGGGUUGUAAAGUUCUUUUACCCGUGCUGAUAAUGACGGUACCGGGAGAAUAAGCCCCGGCUAACUACGUG
Molecule: ribosomal RNA, 433 nt
Filed under: uncultured bacterium
Lineage: Bacteria
Description: partial 16S ribosomal RNA
Rfam family: Bacterial small subunit ribosomal RNA
Source: RNAcentral